AAUAAAAUAAAAACAACAUAGGAAGCUUGAAAAUACAGGAAUUAAAGGACAGAAAUACUGGAUACCUGCUUACACAAAAUCCAGGAAGAGCAAUGUUAAUAUUCAACAAAACAAGACUCAAGAUGAUUACUGAAAUGCCAAAGAGGGUUAUUUUGUAUAACUAAGAAAUACAAUGGAAAUCUAAAACCAUCAUGAAUCUUAAGGCAACCAAUGAUAUGGCUUUGAAAUUCAUAAAGCAGAAAUUUCUAGAAAUACCAGAAAAAACCAACAAAGUCACCAUCACGAAGACUGUAGCACAUCUCCUAUGAAAAUGACAGCUAAAUGAAUGGAAAUUUUACAAUACCUUCAUUUUGUUACAUAGAAAAUAGGGUGAUAUUCUUUAAUAACCUGUAUGAAACUCACAAAUUGGCUCAUAUCCACAAAUUGGCUCAUAAAGAAAAGUGUAACAUGCUUCCUUCAAAUUAACUGAUCAUAACUAAGUCAAAUUAGAAAUUACAUUAAAAAAGGAAGACUUCCUUCCCCCUUCUUCCAAAAAAAAAAGUAAAAGAGGAAAGAAAAAGUACUAUAGACUACAGAAUUAGAAAUAAAUGAAGUUUUGGGUUUAUGACGAAAUAAUAUAGAGUAUUCUUUAAAAGUAAAUGGAAGUGAUAACACUGUAGUAUAUUAAAAACUGUGAGAUAUAGCCAAAAGUCUAAUAAAUGGAUUUUUCCUCCUUAGAAACAUAAACUAUAAAACAAGGAAUAGAAGAUAAAAAUAAAAGAACUGUGUUUUCAUAUAUUCUAAUUAAAAACCCAAGCAAACGUAAUGACAUAUGAAAGGACUUAAUAAAAUAGAAACCAUAUACAAUAUACUUUAUCAACAAUACCAACAGAUACUUAAGAAAAAGGUGAGCCUAGCAGAUCGAAGUAAGAAAAAAUAGAGAUUGACAUUUAACAUUAGGAAUAAGGAGACAAAAAACCCCGUAACAGAGCGCGAUGCCCAAAUCCAAGCGCGACAAGAAAGUCUCCUUAACCAAAACUGCCAAGAAAGGCUUGGAAUUGAAACAAAACCUGAUAGAAGAGCUUCGGAAAUGUGUGGACACCUACAAGUACCUUUUCAUCUUCUCUGUGGCCAACAUGAGGAACAGCAAGCUGAAGGACAUCCGGAACGCCUGGAAGCACAGCCGGAUGUUCUUUGGCAAAAACAAGGUGAUGAUGGUGGCCUUGGGUCGGAGCCCAUCUGAUGAGUACAAAGACAACCUGCACCAGGUCAGCAAAAGGUUGAGGGGUGAAGUGGGACUCGUGUUCACCAACCACACAGAGGAGGAGGUGAAUGAGUGGUUCACGAAAUACACAGAAAUGGACUACGCCCGCGCUGGUAACAAAGCAGCUUUCACUGUGAGCCUGGACCCGCGGCCCCUGGAUCAGUUCCCCCACUCCAUGGAGCCACAACUCAGGCAGCUGGGCCUGCCCACCACCCUCAAGAGAGGUGUGGUGACUCUGCUAUCCGACUAUGAGGUGUGCAAGGAGGGCGACGUGCUGACCCCCGAGCAGGCUCGCGUCCUGAAGCUUUUUGGGUAUGAGAUGGCUGAAUUCAAGGUGACCAUCAAAUACAUGUGGGAUUCACAGUCGGGAAGGUUCCAGCAGAUGGGAGACGACUUGCCAGAGAGCGCAUCCGAGUCCGCAGAAGAGUCAGACUCAGAAGAGGAUGACUGAAAGGGACUCAGGACUGAAGGCCUCCUGGAACCUUCUGGGUCUCACUAGACCAUGCAGGACUGCUGCCGCCCCUCUGGAGAGAGCAGCUGUUUAUUUGUCUGUAGACAGGGAACGUGAUGGGCACUGACCUCCUGUAAAGAAUAAAACUCUGGGCCAGG
RNA transcript from Piliocolobus tephrosceles (Ugandan red Colobus), 1852 nucleotides. It is a transcript of the gene named mRNA turnover protein 4 homolog pseudogene, with no coding region annotated. Lineage: Eukaryota; Metazoa; Chordata; Mammalia; Primates; Cercopithecidae. The record is from RefSeq and is a predicted model, not a curated record. The transcript has a single exon.